UACGUAGGGUGCAAGCGUUGUCCGGAAUUAUUGGGCGUAAAGGGCUUGUAGGCGGUCCGUCACGUCGGGUGUGAAAUCUCGGGGCUUAACUCCGAAACUGCAUUCGAUACUGCCGUGCUUGAGGACUGGAGAGGAGACUGGAAUUUACGGUGUAGCGGUGAAAUGCGUAGAUAUCGUAAGGAAGACCAGUGGCGAAGGCGGGUCUCUGGACAGUUCCUGACGCUGAGGCACGAAGGCCAGGGGAGCAAACGGG
RNAcentral lists this ribosomal RNA (253 nucleotides) under uncultured bacterium. Its description in RNAcentral is "partial 16S ribosomal RNA". It matches the Rfam family "Bacterial small subunit ribosomal RNA", at positions 524 to 776 of the family's 1533-position model. The record is from RNAcentral.